CAUAUCACAUUGACACAUCAGUUCUCAUAUGAAAGUUAAGCAAUGUCAAGCCUGAUCAGUACCUAGAUGAGUGACCGCUUGGGAAUACCAGGUGCUGUAAG
Molecule: non-coding RNA, 101 nt
Organism: Acanthosepion pharaonis
Lineage: Eukaryota; Metazoa; Mollusca; Cephalopoda; Sepiida; Sepiidae
Source: the annotation of a GenBank genome assembly